Molecule: ribosomal RNA, 253 nt
Filed under: uncultured bacterium
Lineage: Bacteria
Description: partial 16S ribosomal RNA
Rfam family: Bacterial small subunit ribosomal RNA
Source: RNAcentral
UACGUAGGUGGCAAGCGUUGUUCGGAAUUAUUGGGCGUAAAGGGCGCGUAGGCGGUUCUGUAAGUCGGUUGUGAAAGCCCGGGGCUCAACCCCGGAGGGUCGACUGAUACUGCAGGACUAGAGUACGGAAGAGGUAGCUGGAAUUUCCGGUGUAGCGGUGAAAUGCGUAGAUAUCGGGAGGAACACCUGAGGCGAAGGCGGGCUACUGGGCCGAUACUGACGCUGAGGCGCGAAAGCCAGGGGAGCAAACGGG